RNAcentral lists this non-coding RNA (25 nucleotides) under Cricetulus griseus (Chinese hamster). The record is from RNAcentral. Lineage: Eukaryota; Metazoa; Chordata; Mammalia; Rodentia; Cricetidae.
AGCUGGAGCACUGGGGCAUCUCAUA